CAUUAAUGUACAUUGUAGCUUUGUCUUAGUUAAUAUAACUAAAAUAAUUUGGCAGUGAGCGACUCUUUUUAGGGGAAGGUGUGGUGUAAAGGAUGUUCCGCCUAAUAAUUUACUUUCGUUAUGUUGGUGUAUAUCUGGUUUAAUAUUAUCGUUGAGUAAGUGAGUUUGUGUAGUUUUAUUUAAGCCAAGUCUAUGUGCUGCUUAUGAAAGUAUUCAUGCGUUACAUUUAUAAGGUUUUGGUUGUAAUACUAAAAUAUUUAGGACUUAAAAGUAAUGUUCAAUAAGUUUGUGAGUGUGAAGUAAGUUUAGCUCA
Molecule: ribosomal RNA, 313 nt
Filed under: Taenia hydatigena
Lineage: Eukaryota; Metazoa; Platyhelminthes; Cestoda; Cyclophyllidea; Taeniidae
Description: partial 12S ribosomal RNA
Source: RNAcentral